CCGGAUAUGAUUUUAGUUCGCACAUGCUUGAAAUGGAAAGGUGGCUUUUAGCUACCACUUUAUCGACAGAGAUCCGCGGCGCAUUAGCUAGUUGGUGAGGUAACGGCUCACCAAGGCGACGAUGCGUAGCCGACCUGAGAGGGUGAUCGGCCACACUGGGACUGAGACACGGCCCAGACUCCUACGGGAGGCAGCAGUAGGGAAUCUUCCGCAAUGGACGAAAGUCUGACGGAGCAACGCCGCGUGAGUGAUGAAGGUUUUCGGAUCGUAAAGCUCUGUUGUUAGAUGCGAACAAGUACCGUUCGAAUAGGGCGGUACCUUGACGGUACCUAACCAGAAAGCCACGGCUAACUACGUGCCAGCAGCCGCGGUAAUACGUAGGUGGCAAGCGUUGUCCGGAAUUAUUGGGCGUAAAGCGCGCGCAGGCGGUUUCUUAAGUCUGAUGUGAAAGCCCACGGCUCAACCGUGGAGGGUCAUUGGAAACUGGGAGACUUGAGUGCAGAAGAGGAGAGUGGAAUUCCACGUGUAGCGGUGAAAUGCGUAGAUAUGUGGAGGAACACCAGUGGCGAAGGCGACUCUCUGGUCUGUAACUGACGCUGAGGCGCGAAAGCGUGGGGAGCGAACAGGAUUAGAUACCCUGGUAGUCCACGCCGUAAACGAUGAGUGCUAAGUGUUAGAGGGUUUCCGCCCUUUAGUGCUGCAGCAAACGCAUUAAGCACUCCGCCUGGGGAGUACGGCCGCAAGGCUGAAACUCAAAGGAAUUGACGGGGGCCCGCACAAGCGGGGCUACAUGUGGUUUAAUUCGAAGCAACGCGAAGAACCUUACCAGGUCUUGACAUCCUUCGCUACCUCUAGAGAUAGAGGGUUCCCCUUCGGGGGACGAAGUGACAGGUGGUGCAUGGUUGUCGUCAGCUCGUGUCGUGAGAUGUUGGGUUAAGUCCCGCAACGAGCGCAACCCUUGACCUUAGUUGCCAGCAUUCAGUUGGGCACUCUAAGGUGACUGCCGGUGACAAACCGGAGGAAGGAUGCUGCUGACGUCAAAUCAUCAUGCCCUUAUGACCUGGGCUACACACGUGCUACAAUGGAUAGAACAAAGGGCAGCAAAGUCGCGAGGCUAAGCCAAUCCCAUAAAUCUAUUCUCAGUUCGGAUUGUAGGCUGCAACUCGCCUACAUGAAGCCGGAAUCGCUAGUAAUCGCGGAUCAGCAUGCCGCGGUGAAUACGUUCCCGGGCCUUGUACAAAUCGUCCGUCACACCACGAGAGUUUGUAACACCAAUGCGUCGGUGGGGUAACCUUUUGAAGCU
RNAcentral lists this ribosomal RNA (1303 nucleotides) under Bacillus carboniphilus. RNAcentral's name for it is "bacterial SSU rRNA". It matches the Rfam family "Bacterial small subunit ribosomal RNA", at positions 169 to 1450 of the family's 1533-position model. Lineage: Bacteria; Bacillati; Bacillota; Bacilli; Caryophanales; Bacillaceae. The record is from RNAcentral.